RNAcentral lists this long non-coding RNA (575 nucleotides) under Sus scrofa (pig). RNAcentral's name for it is "lncRNA (ENSSSCG00070010119.1)". The record is from RNAcentral. Lineage: Eukaryota; Metazoa; Chordata; Mammalia; Artiodactyla; Suidae.
UCCUGGGAUCCCAGAACAGCUGGGCUGGAAGGGACCUCGAAAAGGGAAUUGCCAACACAUGCCCCGUACCAGGCCCUGAGCCCGGCCUUUUCGUGAACAUUGUCUUAACACUUCUAACUCCACUUUGAGAAAUGGCAGCGGGAAGGCAGCAGAUGGACUGCGACUCCCGUCAGUACCCGCUGGCCCCAGCGUCCUAUUGUCCUCAUCAUAGCACCAGCGUCCGCAGGACUACGACUUCCGUCGUGCCCUGCGCGUAUCCGUCCUGGAAAGAGGAGGUGGUGGGGAAAGGAGGGGGCAGGGGGCGGGGUUCCUCUGGGAGAAGGAGGGAGUAGAGAGGAGGAGGAGGAGGGAAGGAGGAGGGAGGGGAGGGGGAAGAGAGGAGGAAGGAGCUCAGGAGGGAUGAGAGAGGCGGCCAGGGCCCCGGGCCGAAGCUGCGCGGGGCCGGGGGACCAGGGGGGCUGAGGCACCCCAAUUGCCCCCUGCCCCUUUCCCUGCCCUUUCCAUCUUUUCCUUCCACCUUCCUGCUUGAGGAAGGGGAUUUAUUCAAAUUUUAUUUAAAUCCCUAUCUCCGGAGG